Molecule: non-coding RNA, 801 nt
Organism: Camellia sinensis
Lineage: Eukaryota; Viridiplantae; Streptophyta; Magnoliopsida; Ericales; Theaceae
Source: RefSeq, a predicted model, not a curated record
GACUUUCUUAUUAUGAGAUUCAAUCUCCAAUAACUUUCUCGACUGAAGAGAUGAAGGGAGCAAAACCGAGAAGAGAUGGAGAAGAGAGAGGGUUCGAAUGAGCAAAACCGCAGGAGAAGGGUUUCAAUCUCUCUUGAUAUUGCAUUCUCCACCCAAUGUUUUCUUUGAAUUCGAAGGUGUAAUUAGAUAAUGAUGAUUGAAGGCCAUUGGGCCCAAUGGAUCUUCAUAAGGUAAUAUUAAUUAAGCUCAAUUGUAUUGUUGCAGCUUGGGGACUACUCAACUACUGUCUAUUUGAAUUUUAGGGCAUUCUUUGGGAAAAGUCUGAUGUAACAAGGGAAAGCUACAAAUUACAAGAAUUAUCAGAACAUCACCUUAUGAGGCGAACUACAAGAUAAAGAAUGCAAACAAAUGGAAAGGGGUAGUACUAUGAGUUAUUCCAAAAUACCAGAUUGGGGAAUCCCAUAAUUCUCGAUUUUCAGGCAUCUUGGAAUUUAUUCUUGGUGGUGGAAAAUGUAUUUAUACCCAGAAUUGGAACAAUUUGAGAUCAAAGCUUAAAAAGCAAGUACUAACUUAUUCAAAUGUAUGCUUCAUCUUAUGUUUUGAUAUUGCUAUGCCUUGCUUCAGGGCAGCCCAUUUGUUAUUCUCCCUAAAACUUUUCUCUCUCUUUUCCUCUAAAAGCUGGAGUUCUAUCUUUCCCUCUUAAUGCUUAGAUGGAGUUCAUUAUACUAUUGUGCCAAAAUAUAAUGCAAGAGAUACUUGUUUCGAAAAUAUUUUACAUUGCUCUGAUAUUGCUUCAUCUAG